This 616-nucleotide long non-coding RNA is filed under the name Equus caballus (horse). RNAcentral describes it as "lncRNA (ENSECAG00000051805.1)". Lineage: Eukaryota; Metazoa; Chordata; Mammalia; Perissodactyla; Equidae. The record is from RNAcentral.
UGGAGAUUAAAGCAAUUUAAGCAAGGUACUGGCUGUGGUUGGGAGCUGAAACUGCUCUUGAAGGAAACAAGGGGAGGAGAUGAAGAAAGUGGGUCAGAAAUGAAAUGGCGCGAGCCCGUGUAGUAGAGGAGCUUCCUUGCCAGGGAGAGAUGGAGAGAUGGCAUGUCAGCCUUGUUGCUGACACCGCGUAAGAGCAAAUUCCACUGGAACUGAGCCACAGAGACCGGGUGACGAUGUUGUGAUUUAAGUUCCAUCAGGACCUCAAAUCUCUUUGUAAGUGGCAUAUUGCGUACUUCAAGGAAAAAUAUCUGAACCCCAUGAUUUAACAACAGAGAGAAAGGAAAAAUCUUCAGGAGGUAACAAUGUAUCAAGUCCACUCUUCUUCCCAGCUGAAAGAAUGAUUGUAACCCUGAAAAUGGCCAGAAUGCCUAGGCUUGCAAAGAAGGAUUUUCCAAGAGUCCCUGACAACUUUUAUCACUUUAUCUUACUAAUUGGGAAAAAAGUGAAUGCUGUACUCUUCCAAGUAUAGAAAUCCUUGCAUUUGACCAGAAUCCACAGUAGGUUAAAGAUGGAAGCUGGUGUUUUCUAGCAGGUUAGCGCCAUUAAAAUAACAACA